GCUCCGGUGGUCUUGUGGUUAGAGCGUCCGCCUCAGAUGCAGGAGGUUGCGGGUUCGAACCCCAGUCGAGUCA
Non-coding RNA from Potamilus streckersoni, 73 nucleotides. NCBI's taxonomy places the organism in Eukaryota, Metazoa, Mollusca, Bivalvia, Unionida, Unionidae. The record is from the annotation of a GenBank genome assembly.